AGCAGUGAGGAAUAUUGGUCAAUAGCCUAACGGCUGAACCAGCAAUUUGGGGGAAUGUAUAGCGAAAGCUAGUUGUAUUAACUAAUAGCUAAUGCAAGAUCGACUACGUCGACUAAAGUUCUAGGUAAAAUAAUGAUGAUGACAAUUUUUUACCUAUAUGUCUUGACCAAGCCUCGUGCCAGCAGUCGCGGUAAUACGUGGAAGACUAGUGUUAUUCAUCUUUAAUAGGUUUAAAGGGUACCUAGACGGUAUUUCUAGCCCAAAACAGGGUACGGGUUUACUAGAGUUUUAUGUGAGAAGGGGAGUACUCAUGGAGUAGAGAUGAAAUUUUGUGAUACUAUGAGGAAACUGGUGGCGGCGAAAGCAACCUUCUAUGUAUAAACUGACGUUGAAGGACGAAGGACC
RNAcentral lists this ribosomal RNA (405 nucleotides) under Acarospora privigna. Its description in RNAcentral is "SSU rRNA". It matches the Rfam family "Bacterial small subunit ribosomal RNA", at positions 350 to 762 of the family's 1533-position model. The record is from RNAcentral. Lineage: Eukaryota; Fungi; Ascomycota; Lecanoromycetes; Acarosporales; Acarosporaceae.